CCCUUAGAUGUCCUGGGCUGCACGCGCGCUACACUGAUGUGUCCAGUAAGCACCUAACCUCUUCCGAAAGGAACGGGUAACCUUUGCAAAGCACAUCGUGAUGGGGAUAGAUUAUUGCAAUUAUUAGUCUUGAACGAGGAAUUCCUAGUAAGCACAAGUCAUCAGCUUGUGUUGAUUACGUCCCUGCCCUUUGUACACACCGCCCGUCGCACCUACCGAUUGAAUGUUUCGGUGAAGAUUCCGGAUAGGACUUUUUUGAUUUAUUUCAAUUUUGUCUUAAAAGCUAUCUAAACCUCAACAUUUAGAGGAAGGUGAAGUCGUAACA
Molecule: ribosomal RNA, 325 nt
Filed under: uncultured eukaryote
Lineage: Eukaryota
Description: partial 18S ribosomal RNA
Rfam family: Eukaryotic small subunit ribosomal RNA
Source: RNAcentral